UACAGAGGUCUCAAGCGUUGUUCGGAAUCACUGGGCGUAAAGGGUGCGUAGGUGGCGUGGUAAGUCAGAUGUGAAAGCCCGGGGCUCAACCUCGGAAUAGCAUCCGAUACUGCCAUGCUGGAGUACUGAAGAGGUGACUAGAAUUCUCGGUGUAGCAGUGAAAUGCGUAGAUAUCGAGAGGAAUACCAACGGCGAAGGCAGGUCACUGGGCAGUUACUGACACUGAGGCACGAAGGCCAGGGGAGCAAACGGG
RNAcentral lists this ribosomal RNA (253 nucleotides) under uncultured bacterium. RNAcentral's name for it is "partial 16S ribosomal RNA". It matches the Rfam family "Bacterial small subunit ribosomal RNA", at positions 524 to 776 of the family's 1533-position model. The record is from RNAcentral.